UUUCUGAUGGCUCAAAGGGUAAAGAACCCGCCUGCAAUGCUGGAGACACAGGAGACACAGGUUCCAUCCCUGUUUGGGAAG
RNAcentral lists this transfer RNA (81 nucleotides) under Ovis aries (sheep). It matches the Rfam family "tRNA". Rfam says of the family: Transfer RNA (tRNA) molecules are approximately 80 nucleotides in length. Their secondary structure includes four short double-helical elements and three loops (D, anti-codon, and T loops). Lineage: Eukaryota; Metazoa; Chordata; Mammalia; Artiodactyla; Bovidae. The record is from Rfam by way of RNAcentral.